This 478-nucleotide ribosomal RNA is filed under the name uncultured bacterium. RNAcentral's name for it is "partial 16S ribosomal RNA". It matches the Rfam family "Bacterial small subunit ribosomal RNA", at positions 28 to 506 of the family's 1533-position model. The record is from RNAcentral.
GAUGAACGCUAGCGGGAGGCCUAACACAUGCAAGCCGAGCGGUAUUGUUUCUUCGGAAAUGAGAGAGCGGCGUACGGGUGCGUAACACGUGUGCAACCUGCCUUUAUCUGGGGGAUAGCCUUUCGAAAGGAAGAUUAAUACUCCAUAAUAUAUUGAACGGCAUCGUUUAAUAUUGAAAGCUCCGGCGGAUAGAGAUGGGCACGCGCAAGAUUAGCUAGUUGGUGAGGUAACGGCUCACCAAGGCGAUGAUCUUUAGGGGGCCUGAGAGGGUGAUCCCCCACACUGGUACGGGGACACGGCCCAGACGCCGACGGGGGGCAGCAGGGGGGAAUAUGGGCAAAGGGGUGCAAGCCUGACCCAGCCACCCCGCGUGAAGGACGACUCCCCUAUGGGUUUUAAACUUUUUUUGUAUAGGGAAAAACCUACCCCCGAGGGGGUAGCUAAAGGUACUAAACAAAAAAGCCCCGGCUAACUCCGU